CGUUGAAACAUCGAUUUACGUACGAUCACUGAAGUUAAGCACCGUCGAACCUGGUCAGUACCUAGAUGGGUGACCGCUUGGGAAUACCAGGUGUUGUCA
RNAcentral lists this ribosomal RNA (99 nucleotides) under Acanthosepion pharaonis. The record is from RNAcentral. Lineage: Eukaryota; Metazoa; Mollusca; Cephalopoda; Sepiida; Sepiidae.